UGCCUUAGUAGCGGCGAGUGAGCGGCAUAGCUCAAAUUUGAAAUCUGGCGUCUUCGGCGUCCGAGUUGUAAUUUGAAGAAGGUAUCUUUGAGGCUGGCUCUUGUCUAUGUUCCUUGGAACAGGACGUCACAGAGGGUGAGAAUCCCGUGCGAUGAGAUGCCCAGUUUCGUGUAAAGUUCCUUCGACGAGUCGAGUUGUUUGGGAAUGCAGCUCUAAGUGGGUGGUAAAUUCCAUCUAAAGCUAAAUAUUGGCGAGAGACCGAUAGCGAACAAGUACUGUGAAGGAAAGAUGAAAAGAACUUUGAAAAGAGAGUGAAAAAGUACGUGAAAUUGUUGAAAGGGAAGGGCUUGAGGUCAGACUUGGUUUACCAGGCCAGCAUCAGUUUGGGUGGCAGGAUAAUAGCUAAGGAAAGUGGCACGAUUUCGGUUGUGUGUUAUAGCCUUGGUUGAUACUGCCUGCCUAGACUGAGGACUGCGUCUUUGACUAGGAUGCUGGCAUAAUGACCUUAAGCCGC
This 514-nucleotide ribosomal RNA is filed under the name Yamadazyma diddensiae. RNAcentral's name for it is "eukaryotic LSU rRNA". It matches the Rfam family "Eukaryotic large subunit ribosomal RNA", at positions 76 to 648 of the family's 3401-position model. Lineage: Eukaryota; Fungi; Ascomycota; Pichiomycetes; Serinales; Debaryomycetaceae. The record is from RNAcentral.